Molecule: ribosomal RNA, 205 nt
Filed under: uncultured bacterium
Lineage: Bacteria
Description: partial 16S ribosomal RNA
Rfam family: Bacterial small subunit ribosomal RNA
Source: RNAcentral
UACGUAGGUGGUCUAUUAAGUCAGAUGUGAAAGCCCCGGGCUUAACCUGGGAACUGCAUUUGAUACUGGUAAACUAGAGUAUGGUAGAGGGGUAGAAUUCCUAGUGUAGCGGUGAAAUGCGUAGAUAUUAGGAGGAAUACCAGUGGCGAAGGCGGCCCCCUGGACCAAUACUGACACUGAGGUACGAAAGCGUGGGGAGCGAACA